This 481-nucleotide ribosomal RNA is filed under the name uncultured bacterium. Its description in RNAcentral is "bacterial SSU rRNA". It matches the Rfam family "Bacterial small subunit ribosomal RNA", at positions 45 to 511 of the family's 1533-position model. The record is from RNAcentral.
GGCCUAUCAUGCAGUCGAGCGGACAGAUGGGAGCUUGCUCCCUGAUGUUAGCGGCGGACGGGUGAGUAACACGUGGGUAACCUGCCUGUAAGACUGGGAUAACUCCGGGAAACCGGGGCUAAUACCGGAUGGUUGUUUGAACCGCAUGGUUCAAACAUAAAAGGUGGCUUCGGCUACCACUUACAGAUGGACCCGCGGCGCAUUAGCUAGUUGGUGAGGUAACGGCUCACCAAGGCAACGAUGCGUAGCCGACCUGAGAGGGUGAUCGGCCACACUGGGACUGAGACACGGCCCAGACUCCUACGGGAGGCAGCAGUAGGGAAUCUUCCGCAAUGGACGAAAGUCUGACGGAGCAACGCCGCGUGAGUGAUGAAGGUUUUCGGAUCGUAAAGCUCUGUUGUUAGGGAAGAACAAGUACCGUUCGAAUAGGGCGGUACCUUGACGGUACCUAACCAGAAAGCCACGGCUAACUACGUGCCAG